UACGGAGGGUGCAAGCGUUAAUCGGAAUUACUGGGCGUAAAGCGCGCGUAGGCGGCUGGAUAAGUCGAUUGUGAAAGCCUUGGGCUCAACCUGAGAAUUGCAGUCGAGACUGUUCGGCUAGAGUGUGGGAGAGGGUGGUGGAAUUCCCGGUGUAGCGGUGAAAUUCGUAGAUAUCGGGAGGAACACCAGUGGCGAAGGCGGAGACCUGGGCCGAUACUGACGCUGAGGUGCGAAAGCGUGGGGAGCAAACAGG
This 253-nucleotide ribosomal RNA is filed under the name uncultured bacterium. RNAcentral's name for it is "partial 16S ribosomal RNA". It matches the Rfam family "Bacterial small subunit ribosomal RNA", at positions 524 to 776 of the family's 1533-position model. The record is from RNAcentral.